AUUGCACAACGGGGGAAACCCUGAUGCAGCGACGCCGCGUGAGUGAAGAAGUAUUUCGGUAUGUAAAGCUCUAUCAGUAGGGAAGAAAAUGACGGUACAUGAUUAAGAAGUCCCGGCUAACUACGUGCCAGCACCCGCGGUAAUACGUAGGGGGCAAGCGUUACCCGGAUUUACUGGGUGUAAAGGGAGCGUAGACGGCAGCACAAGUCUGGAGUGAAAUGCCGGGGCUUAACCCCGGAACUGCUUUGGAAACUGUGCAGCUAGAGUGCAGGAGAGGUAAGUGGAACUCCUAGUGUAGCGGUGAAAUGCGUAGAUAUUAGGAGGAACACCAGUGGCGAAGGCGGCUUACUGGACUGUAACUGACGUUGAGGCUCGAAAGCGUGGGGAGCAAACAGG
RNAcentral lists this ribosomal RNA (396 nucleotides) under uncultured bacterium. RNAcentral's name for it is "bacterial SSU rRNA". It matches the Rfam family "Bacterial small subunit ribosomal RNA", at positions 363 to 776 of the family's 1533-position model. The record is from RNAcentral.